RNAcentral lists this ribosomal RNA (868 nucleotides) under uncultured organism. Its description in RNAcentral is "SSU rRNA". It matches the Rfam family "Bacterial small subunit ribosomal RNA", at positions 592 to 1472 of the family's 1533-position model. The record is from RNAcentral.
UUGUGAAAGUUUGCGGCUCAACCGUAAAAUUGCAGUUGAUACUGUCAGUCUUGAGUACAGUAGAGGUGGGCGGAAUUCGUGGUGUAGCGGUGAAAUGCUUAGAUAUCACGAAGAACUCCGAUUGCGAAGGCAGCUCACUGGACUGCAACUGACACUGAUGCUCGAAAGUGUGGGUAUCAAACAGGAUUAGAUACCCUGGUAGUCCACACAGUAAACGAUGAAUACUCGCUGUUUGCGAUAUACAGUAAGCGGCCAAGCGAAAGCAUUAAGUAUUCCACCUGGGGAGUACGCCGGCGACGGUGAAACUCAAAGGAAUUGACGGGGGCCCGCACAAGCGGAGGAACAUGUGGUUUAAUUCGAUGAUACGCGAGGAACCUUACCCGGGCUUAAAUUGCAGUGGAAUGAUGUGGAAACAUGUCAGUGAGCAAUCACCGCUGUGAAGGUGCUGCAUGGUUGUCGUCAGCUCGUGCCGUGAGGUGUCGGCUUAAGUGCCAUAACGAGCGCAACCCUUAUCUUUAGUUACUAACAGGUCAUGCUGAGGACUCUAGAGAGACUGCCGUCGUAAGAUGUGAGGAAGGUGGGGAUGACGUCAAAUCAGCACGGCCCUUACGUCCGGGGCUACACACGUGUUACAAUGGGGGGUACAGAAGGCAGCUAGCGGGUGACCGUAUGCUAAUCCCAAAAUCCUCUCUCAGUUCGGAUCGAAGUCUGCAACCCGACUUCGUGAAGCUGGAUUCGCUAGUAAUCGCGCAUCAGCCACGGCGCGGUGAAUACGUUCCCGGGCCUUGUACACACCGCCCGUCAAGCCAUGGGAGCCGGGGGUACCUGAAGUACGUAACCGCAAGGAUCGUCCUAGGGUAAAACUGGU